CCCGCAUACCCCACAACAACCACCACCACUUUCUUCCUUCGGCACAAGGAAGUGAAAGAAGUUGCGACCGAGUGAAGUCGACGUUGACGCUCGGCAAGCACGUGGUGCGAUGUGUCGCGCCGCCUCGUCACGUGAGCGCGACGUGCAGAGCGGUGACGUCACGGCUCGUUAUCCCGGGAUGAGGAUGAGGAGGAGGACGGCAAGCAGCUGGAGACGACGACGAUGACGACGAUGAUGAUGGACGAGGUUCGGGGACGGCUCCGCGCGACUCGCAGACGGGGAGCCUGAGCCUCGUGGGGCCCCCCACAAGCAGUUGAAGCGGAGCACCACCCCCCCCCUCUCCUCCUCCUCUCUCCUCCUGCUGCUGCUGCUGCUGUCUCUUCACGAGCAGCAGGAAUUAGGGAUUAUAAGCACAGCGACUGGAGACCGCAACACGGAAAUCACGAGGGCUGUGACACAGACAGCACUAGCAUUGUAACACACAUCACUAGCAUUGUAACACACAGCACUGGCACUGUGACACACAGAGAACACUAACAUUGUAACACAGCACUAGCACUGUGACACACAGAGAACACUAGGAUUGUAACACACAGCACUAGCAUUGUAACACACAGAGAACACCAGCAUUGUAACACACAGAACACUAGCACUGUAACACACAGCAC
Molecule: non-coding RNA, 668 nt
Organism: Petromyzon marinus (sea lamprey)
Lineage: Eukaryota; Metazoa; Chordata; Hyperoartia; Petromyzontiformes; Petromyzontidae
Source: RefSeq, a predicted model, not a curated record